Molecule: transfer RNA, 74 nt
Filed under: Candidatus Zambryskibacteria bacterium RIFCSPHIGHO2_01_FULL_49_18
Lineage: Bacteria; Candidatus Zambryskiibacteriota
Also listed under: 1 other name
Description: tRNA-Gly
Rfam family: tRNA
About the family: Transfer RNA (tRNA) molecules are approximately 80 nucleotides in length.
Source: RNAcentral
GCGAGUAUGGUCUAACGGUAUGACGCGACCUUCCCAAGGUUGAGACCGGGGUCCGACUCCCCGUACUCGCACUA